UAGUAACGGCGAGUGAACUGGGACCAAGUCCAGCGCUAAAUCGUUGUGCCCCUGGUGCAGCGAGGUGUAGCGUACAGGUCGGCCUCAGGCAYUGGCCAGUUGUUCAAGUUUCCCUUGACCGGGGCAUCACAGAAGGUGCAAGUCCUGUACAACAACUGCAUUUGCCAGUGCCUCUUGACCGUGCCUUGGAGUCGGGUUGUUUGGGAUCGCAGCCCAAAGCAGGUGGUAAACUUCAUCUAAGGCUGAAUAUGACCACGAGUCCGAUAGCGAACAAGUACCGUGAGGGAAAGUUGCAAAGCACUUUGAAGAGAGAGUUAAAGAGGACGUGAAACCGAUGAGGUGGAAACGGAUAGAGCCAGCGUAUCUGGCCUGCAUUCAACCACACGCGGAAAGCGCUCGUGCAGCUGGCGACUCCAGAUUGGGACAGUUGUGCAGGGCCAUGCUGGAUGCGAGUGGUGCAUUUGCAGGCCGAGUGCGCCGAGGCGCUCGGAGCAGCGGUGUGAGCCCGGUCUUGAGGCCAGCCUGGCUGGUACCCGGACACGGGGGAGUGUUGUUUGCUCUGGGUGAYAGGGUGCAUGGCUUACGGGCCCGGCURGGUGCCGARCUGUCAGCGGGCGGCGGUCGCAUGCGACACGUGCCUUUGCCAGCAGUUCGGUCCUGGUCGAGCUCACAUGCCCGCUCUCGGUGUAAGAGCUGGUCAUCUCUCCGACCCGUCUUG
Molecule: ribosomal RNA, 718 nt
Filed under: Pratylenchus delattrei
Lineage: Eukaryota; Metazoa; Nematoda; Chromadorea; Rhabditida; Pratylenchidae
Description: eukaryotic LSU rRNA
Rfam family: Eukaryotic large subunit ribosomal RNA
Source: RNAcentral